This 235-nucleotide ribosomal RNA is filed under the name uncultured bacterium. RNAcentral describes it as "partial 16S ribosomal RNA". It matches the Rfam family "Bacterial small subunit ribosomal RNA", at positions 252 to 504 of the family's 1533-position model. The record is from RNAcentral.
GCGGGGUGACGGCCCACCGUGCUUUCGACGGGUAGCCGGGUUGAGAGACCGACCGGCCACAUUGGGACUGAGAUACGGCCCAGACUCCUACGGGAGGCAGCAGUGGGGAAUUUUGCGCAAUGGGGGCAACCCUGACGCAGCAACGCCGCGUGCGGGACGAAGGCCUUCGGGUCGUAAACCGCUUUCAGCAGGGAAGACAGCGACGGUACCUGCAGAAGAAGCCCCGGCUAACUAC